GUCGACGGCCAUGCCACCCUGAACGCGCCCGAUCUCGCCUGACCUCGGAAGCUAAGCAGAGUUGGGCCUGGUUACUACUCAGAUGGGAGACCACCUGGGAAAACUGGGUGCUGUAGGCU
Molecule: ribosomal RNA, 119 nt
Filed under: Pteropus alecto (black flying fox)
Lineage: Eukaryota; Metazoa; Chordata; Mammalia; Chiroptera; Pteropodidae
Source: RNAcentral